GGACAGCAGACGUAGACACAUCUCUCAGGCCAGGGAAAUAGAUGACCAGGCCAGCAAGGGAACCACGAUUCCAUGGUACAGACCAGCCAAUGGAGAGCGCACUGCGUGUGCUUAGUAAAAAUUUAUGGGCCUAGUCUGGCAGAUGGAAAAGUUGAGGGGAAGCCCAGUAGCGGCAUCAUUUGGCCAUUGUGAGCGGUCCUAUUUUUCACACCCUUCCUGGGGCUAGACUCCAAACGCGCUAUAGUUGGAAAAGUUUUGCAAAACCCUUUAAGUUAUUAAGUUAUGACGCACGCACACGAAGCAUUUGAUUUUUGACUGAUAGAUUUGUUGAAAAAGACGACAGAUACCCCGCUUUUCGUUUUACCCCUUGCAACAAAAUUGGACUUGGCUCAUCAACAUUACCCACCUGACAAGCGCAGGCAGUUCCCGAAGAAGGAUAUGUAAGGAACGGACUUUCCAGGAUACAAACCUGGUUGAAAUUAGUCGGUCGCUUAUCCCUCUGGACCAAUCACACUGAAGUUAGAUUGACGGGCCCAGAUUAUAAUGUUGGGUAUGUGGAUAGAAAACACGAAAUGUUCUUUAAAUGUAUUCAUUGGUUAAUACCCUAGAGUUCUUUCAAUGAAGUUUAGGCAAAGCAAAAGGAGACUUGGAGUAAGGCCAGGUCUAUAUUAACAUAAGAAACUUGAAUAAUAAUUUUAUUAAUAAUAUCUGCAAGCAAUUCCGGCCAGCCCUGUUUCGAUUUAAUUGCCCAUACCCCACAUCCUGCGGGAUUCUUUGUUAUAAAAAGUGGGCGAAUCGAAGGAAGGACACGUGGACAGAUGUCAAGCGCAGCAUCAAUGGGAGUCGCAAUACUGACGAAGAAAAGGCCAGGGGCUGUGGAAAACUGUGGAAAAGCGGUGUGGUGGGCGCAGAUCGAACCUUUUGUGGCACUCUGGCAGGCGGUAGUUUCCACAUCAAUUAGAUGAUGUUUACUGCAUUUGCUACAAAUUGACAAACUCGUCGAAGGCACAAAGGGAUUUUCCUACUUGCUCCCUCGGCCAAUAACCACACAAAAGGCAAUGAAAAUGUAUAAAAAAUAUGUAAAGCAAAGACAGCGGAGUCGAGGGAAGUCAGGGAAAAGCCAAAAUGAAAAUUCAAAGACAAAGAAAAUGUGCCAGAGCAGAGACAGAAAUUGUUGCUGCUUUUGGUUUGCGGCUAUGUUCAAUUCUGUUGACGUUAUCAAAAGUUGCGGCACAAAUAACAAAAACAAGACGAAGCAGCCAGACGUUAUAUAUAUGUAUUUGUAUAAAUAUGAAAAACGUAGUAAAGGAAGAAAAGGAUACAAGUAAUUUGCCAAGGGCAAUGUGGGCACAGCGGAAGUUAACAUUGAAAAGGAUUACGGCGUGCCAGAGACUCGUCUUUUGUGACCAACUCUCCCUUUCUCCAUUUCUCCGAUUUUCCGACCUCCUUCCCAACUUUCUCCGUCCGUAUCUGUGAGUCUCUGUCUCUGUGUGUUGACAACAACCAGUUGGCAUUGCCAGCUAUUGGCCCAUUUGUCCUGGCCCCUUGGGUCCUUUGGCUGCCACUGUCUUCGUCGCUGUUUCCCUCGGCAGGCGAAGG
Long non-coding RNA from Drosophila simulans, 1599 nucleotides. RefSeq lists it as uncharacterized. The record is from RefSeq and is a predicted model, not a curated record. The transcript is spliced from 3 exons. Lineage: Eukaryota; Metazoa; Arthropoda; Insecta; Diptera; Drosophilidae.